RNAcentral lists this ribosomal RNA (502 nucleotides) under uncultured Glomeromycotina. RNAcentral's name for it is "partial small subunit ribosomal RNA". It matches the Rfam family "Eukaryotic small subunit ribosomal RNA", at positions 591 to 1092 of the family's 1831-position model. Lineage: Eukaryota; Fungi; Glomeromycota. The record is from RNAcentral.
CCAAUAGCGUAUAUUAAAGUUGUUGCAGUUAAAAAGCUCGUAGUUGAACUUCGGGGUCUACCCAUUGGUCAGGCUUAAUUGUCUGCACUGGUGAGAUGGAUCUCUACCUUCUGAGGAACUUUCAUGCCCCUUAUUUGGUGUGGUUGGAAAUCAGGACUGUUACUUUGAAAAAAUUAGAGUGUUUAAAGCAGACUAUCGUCUGAAUACAUUAGCAUGGAAUAAUGAAAUAGGACGGACUGAUUCUAUUUCGUUGGUUUCUAGGAUCACCGUAAUGAUUAAUAGGGAUAGUUGGGGGCAUUAGUAUUCAAUUGUCAGAGGUGAAAUUCUUGGAUUUAUUGAGGACUAACUACUGCGAAAGCAUUUGCCAAGGAUGUUUUCAUUAAUCAAGAACGAAAGUUAGGGGAUCGAAGACGAUCAGAUACCGUCGUAGUCUUAACCAUAAACUAUGCCGACUAGGGAUCGGACGAAGUUAAUUUUAUAAUGACGCGUUCGGCACCUUACG